GGUAGAACAAGAGUAGAUAUUGGGAAGCAUUACUGUGCAGAGAGUGAGUCUCUGCUGAAAUUGAAACAGCUUGUCAUUUUAAUAAUAUACUCACUGAAAGAAGUAAAAGGAGGGAAAAUGAAAUAUGCUGGUGUGUCAGGUCAGAGGUUCUCCUGAGAGCCAGGGAGGGUGUUCCUCACCCAAGCUGGCAGUCUGGCUGAUACAAGGUUUUUUUAUCUCUGUCUCUUGAUGGGGCUGGAAUAGAUGCUGUUGCAGAUCAUAGUCAAAUGUUUUGAGAAAAUACUUCUAAGAAAAAGUGCAACUGAGCUAGCAUUUUUGUCUAUAUUCUCAAAAUUUGUGGACCAUAUUCAGCAGUUUGUAUGGUGGAAUGGACAUGCAGCCUUUGGCAUGGCAAAGGCAAGAACAGAGGAGGUCACUGUACUUGUACAGGUUUUCUGGAUGUCACAGCUUGCAGUGGAGCCUGGCCAGAGACUUCUACAGCUCCAGCUGAUCUCAGGAUCUCAGUUGUGUGAUGCCCAUGCAGUGCAAAGAUCAACAUGGCACCUGAGAAGCAGCAAUCUUGUGGUCCAGGUGUCCAUUCAGCAAAGGACUAAGGACAAGGUUUUCUGGAAAUCUGUGAGAUCCUCCAGGAUCAAAGCAGCCUGGCAAAGGCAAGUGCCAGAUUGGAGGACUCGGGAUGGCAAAGCAGACAGCCACACAAAAUCUAAACAUCCACCAUGAAAAAUGUGAAGCACCAGAAAAUGUUUCAUUCUGCAUCAAAAUGGAAUAACGUUUUUAUUUGCAAAUUGCGAAUGCUGAGCAAGCUAAUAAACC
RNAcentral lists this long non-coding RNA (813 nucleotides) under Chloebia gouldiae (Gouldian finch). Its description in RNAcentral is "Erythrura gouldiae (Gouldian finch) lncRNA (ENSEGOG00005002986.1)". Lineage: Eukaryota; Metazoa; Chordata; Aves; Passeriformes; Passeridae. The record is from RNAcentral.